GUUAUCGUAGCUUACCCCGCACCAUAAAGCAUGGCCCUGAAGCAGCCAAGACGGAUCCUAUACUCCCGAAAAC
Molecule: transfer RNA, 73 nt
Filed under: Correlophus ciliatus (crested gecko)
Lineage: Eukaryota; Metazoa; Chordata; Lepidosauria; Squamata; Diplodactylidae
Description: tRNA-Phe
Source: RNAcentral